CUACGGGGCGCUGCAGUAGGGAAUCUUAGACAAUGGGGGAAACCCUGAUCUAGCCAUGCCGCGUGGGUGAUGAAGGCCUUAGGGUUGUAAAGCUCUUUCGCUGGGGAAGAUAAUGACGGUACCCAGUAAAGAAACCCCGGCUAACUCCGUGCCAGCAGCCGCGGUAAUACGGAGGGGGUUAGCGUUGUUCGGAAUUACUGGGCGUAAAGCGCGCGUAGGCGGGCUAUUAAGUCAGGGGUGAAAUCCCGGGGCUCAACCCCGGAACUGCCUUUGAUACUGGUAGUCUUGAGUUCGAGAGAGGUGAGUGGAAUUCCGAGUGUAGAGGUGAAAUUCGUAGAUAUUCGGAGGAACAUCAGUGGCGAAGGCGACUCACUGGCUCGAUACUGACGCUGAGGUGCGAAAGUGUGGGGAGCAAACAGGAUUAGAUACCCUAGUAGUC
Molecule: ribosomal RNA, 439 nt
Filed under: uncultured bacterium
Lineage: Bacteria
Description: partial 16S ribosomal RNA
Rfam family: Bacterial small subunit ribosomal RNA
Source: RNAcentral